UUGACCUCAAAUCAGGUAGGACUACCCGCUGAACUUAAGCAUAUCAAUAAGCGGAGGAAAAGAAACUAACAAGGAUUCCCCUAGUAACUGCGAGUGAAGCGGGAAAAGCUCAAAUUUAAAAUCUGGCAGUCUUUUUUUUCUUCUUUGGCUGUCCGAGUUGUAAUCUAGAGAAGUGCUUACCUGCACUG
This 188-nucleotide ribosomal RNA is filed under the name Amanita friabilis. RNAcentral's name for it is "partial 28S ribosomal RNA". It matches the Rfam family "Eukaryotic large subunit ribosomal RNA", at positions 1 to 173 of the family's 3401-position model. Lineage: Eukaryota; Fungi; Basidiomycota; Agaricomycetes; Agaricales; Amanitaceae. RNAcentral also lists the same sequence under 1 other name. The record is from RNAcentral.